This 253-nucleotide ribosomal RNA is filed under the name uncultured bacterium. RNAcentral describes it as "partial 16S ribosomal RNA". It matches the Rfam family "Bacterial small subunit ribosomal RNA", at positions 524 to 776 of the family's 1533-position model. The record is from RNAcentral.
UACGUAGGGUGCGAGCGUUGUCCGGAAUUACUGGGCGUAAAGAGCUCGUAGGCGGCUUGUCACGUCGGAUGUGAAAGCCCGAGGCUUAACCUCGGGUCUGCAUUCGAUACGGGCUAGCUAGAGUGUGGUAGGGGAGAUCGGAAUUCCUGGUGUAGCGGUGAAAUGCGCAGAUAUCAGGAGGAACACCGGUGGCGAAGGCGGAUCUCUGGGCCAUUACUGACGCUGAGGAGCGAAAGCGUGGGGAGCGAACAGG